CUUAUACUAAUUUUGCAAUUGUGUAAAUCCAUUGACCUGAGCAGAGUUAUUUUUGAUUGACACUAAUACAUGCUGGAGGAGAAUCAGGUUUUAAAUAUCUUUGAAGGCAGACAAGCUUGGAAAAAAUAGUCUUAUUUUUAAGCUCCAUAAUUGUGACGAUGUCCUUUUGUGCCAUGCUAUUCAUUUGUUAUUUGAAUUGUAUUUGUCAAACAGUCAUUCAGGUCAACUGGUUAUCUUCAGGCGUUUAUAGCAGCAGAGGGACCCUUCCUCUCUGAAAUCCUUCACUUUCUACUCUGUGAUGGAUCAAUGGGCAAAGCUAAAGGCUCGUCUGAGUUCAGCUUGAAUUGCUGAAGCAGCUUCCUGAAAAUGAUUCGAUGACUGAAUUUUUGAGAACAUUUUCAUAAAAAAAUUUUGGCCCAUUUACUGGCUUGGCUUUGGGCAGGAUUACAGCACAAAUUGCAACACUUCUUUUUCACUCUCAUAUGCGUGACAAGUAAUAAUUUACAAGCCUGUCCAAUGCAGUGGCCUUUCACAUACUUCAGAGGCUGUGGUCUCUAAAGCAACUUGCCAAAGCCCUUGCUAUGUAAAAACUUGUUGAGCAUACAUUCUGUACAUAUAUAUGUGUAUUAUAUAUGCAUUCUGCUUAUUGCAGUGAGUCAGCUUGAAAACCCAAAUGAAAAAAUCAGAUGUUGCACUGAUACAGUGACCUGUACUUUAAAA
Molecule: non-coding RNA, 720 nt
Organism: Anas platyrhynchos (mallard)
Lineage: Eukaryota; Metazoa; Chordata; Aves; Anseriformes; Anatidae
Source: RefSeq, a predicted model, not a curated record